Molecule: long non-coding RNA, 1845 nt
Organism: Oncorhynchus gorbuscha (pink salmon)
Lineage: Eukaryota; Metazoa; Chordata; Actinopteri; Salmoniformes; Salmonidae
Exons: 7
Source: RefSeq, a predicted model, not a curated record
AUUGCCUCUCACAACCAUACUUCACUCCACAAUUAGUUUUACGAGAUUACGCAUCUCGAAUACACCGAGGAUGGUUGACUGGAUUGUGGACCGCCAAGGCUGGGGAAAAAAGACUACGAGCACGAGUCUGUGAAGUGAUAUGCGAGAGGAAAAACAUAACCCCUGUCAUAAAAAAGAAAAUCAAUGAAUAUUUGGAGGGCAGAUGAGUUCCACAGACUAAGGAGAACUCCACCCAGGGAUCAGGCAGAGUAUUUCCACCGUAUUCUCAAAUCUGACCCUGUGUGGGGAGGGAGAUUGCACAUGAUAUGGCGCAUCCUUGGGCAGAGUACUGGGACUUCCUGGAUAGCUUCAUUGACCUGUCUACAGAGGAGGGACUGAGGAGGUUGGAGGAGUAUCUGGAUAGGAAGGACCAGACUGAGCGUUCCCUAGAAGUAUAUGGGAAGACAGAGGGGACUGGUGCUGGAUUUAAAACAUCAAACCCUCCAAAGAGGAGCAGAACCAGAGCCAUGUCCUGAUCAACAACACCCUGAAUGACAGAAUGUCUCCAUCACAAAGGAGAAAAGUUCCCAGUCUUCUGUGUGUAAACUCCUGCCAGAGUUUGAGAAAUCUAGCCUAAAGGAUGGCUCUGUCCAAGUGGAGGACCAGGAGGAGGUAAAGAGUGUUGAGGGCCGUCUGGCUCCCUCUGUACCCAGGAAAGAGGAACUGGACCUGGGGGGUGACAGUUUCUGGAGGACCUGGGAGGGGAGUCAGGUGAAGAGGCAGGUGGAGGAGCUCUCCAACUCCAGCUCAGAGGAGUAUCUGACAGCAGACGAGGGCUCAGACUCUUGAGUGCCCAGGUAGUCCCCGAGACGGGAGAAGAGAAAGUAGAGGCUCAGGAUCCUCUACCACAUCUUACAAAUCCAUUAAGGGAGACUCUUCGAAAGAAACAAUUCUGACAACCGACACCCCUACAAAACGAAGACUGGAACUGUUCAUGGACGGGGAAUCUCCCACCAAGUUAGACAAUGAGGUCCUGUCUGCAAUGAAUAACAUGGAGAUUGACCCUGAAACCCCUGCAUUACUAAGUGGAGGAACACCAUUAUGGCCUAUCCCUCUUCACAGUGGCUAAGGCCGACAAGGAGGAAAAGCUUGACUGGGACACAAAACUGUUCUCCCAGCAGGCUCAGCUUUUGCAGCCCAGGCCCCCACACUCCUGCUCAGAGCUGUUGCACCCAGACCAUCCUCUGCAGGACCCUCUUCCGCUCCCUAAGCUGGCACAGGGAAACCACAAGAAAACAGGAUGUCACGUCCCAGGAUCUGAAGGUGGUGUUGCACAUACAAAAGGGAAAGUUGGCCAACAUCCUGCACCACCACAGCAGGUCCAUAGUCUAACAACUGACUUUAUAACCCAGGCAGUGCUUAUUUUACCCUUGUGCUGGUUUCCAUUUGUACAACUCUUUAGGCUGUUCUAUGCAAGGCACUGCUCCACUUAACACUAUUUACUUAUCAGGUAGCUAUUCAACAGCACUAAUGCUGCCUGCCUCUACAUGCAUGUCCUCAAUGCAAGCAUUCUCUUCUGGCGGAUAGCAUAGCUACAGAUUACACUUUCAACUUGAAGUUACCUAAUGGUGUACACUUUUCCCAGUGCCUAUGUAAUGUGUGUGUAUACAAGAUGUUUUAUACAUUAAAUGCUCAAAUAAUGCUUUUGUAUUGUUAAUCACUAUUACCUUAUUCCAGAGAUACAUUUGGAGAGUUUUAAAUUGUUUUAAUUUAUACCUAUACACAAGAAUGAUUAUGGCUGUAUUCAGAACCGUUUAUUCAUAAAAUGUAAUAAGCAUGAUCAAAUAAAUCAAUUUAUAAUCAAUA